This is a long non-coding RNA of Biomphalaria glabrata, 2094 nucleotides long. RefSeq lists it as uncharacterized. The transcript has 9 exons. Lineage: Eukaryota; Metazoa; Mollusca; Gastropoda; Planorbidae. The record is from RefSeq and is a predicted model, not a curated record.
ACUAUUGUUUCCAUAGAAACAACUUUUUUUUAAAUACCAUGAGAUAUUGUAUUUAAGAGAUAUUCUAGCUCAGUAUAUGUUGUUUCCAUAUAUCAUCAUCUUAACAAGCACACAUUCUCUGCUGCCAACAGUACCAAUUUGUCAACCAAGCAACAAAUAUUCCUUGGUAAUCUGCUAUCAGAUAACAGUUUUCUCGUUGGCAUUUUUAUGAAUUAAAGCUUUCAAGGCUUAAUGUUUUGGUCAAGUUUCAGAUUUGUUUAGCAUAAUCCUGUACUACAUAUUAACAAAUGUUUGGUGUGUCUAGUUCAUCUCUCUCACUAUGAAGAUGGCUACACACUAUCAGCAAUGCACCCCUAUGAUAUACAAGUCUUCAUUGCCAAGUCACUCUGCCAAACAGUGUGUACACCUUUCUUGCAGUGGUAGUACUUUACUGUACUUCAAUCACUUCAGGAGUCUGGAUAUGUCAGCCCAAGGCCAAGGAGAUCAAGUUUGUGUCCAAGGUUACUUAGGUAAUUCUCUAAGAACAAUAGGUUUUUUUUUUUAAAGACACACACUACAUGUUGCUGAUCUGUGGGUUAGUGGCUCAAUCAUUGUGCACUGAUUCUCCACUGAUGCCUAGAUUGCCAUAAGUUUAUCUAUUGAUCUACAGAUCAAGGGACUAAAUGGUCUAUUAAACAUGAGGUCAAGGAAAAAGGAUGAACAUUUCAAGGCUGCAGGAGGAACAUUAAACAUCUCUCUCACUGUGAAAAGAUUCUACCGAUCUACAAAUGAUCAACAUGUUUUAUCUAAAGUUCAUCUGCCAUUUCUUCAAAUGGAGCCAUAGUCAGAAUAAGAUUCUUUUUGUUCUUCCUUAGGUUCAAAUGUAUCAGUUGUUUUUGUUGACAGAUAUCAAGUCAUUUCAGUUCUCAAUUAUUUUGUGCACUAAGUUACAAGAAAAAAUUCAAGCAAAAGAGGUCACUACACUAAGACUUUGUCUUCUCAUAAGAAUGGAUGGCUGCCUGGUCAUGUGAUAUGUGUGCUGGACUGUGUGUGGUCAUCUUGAUGCUCAUAUCUUGCCUGAUGACAUUUAUUCUGCUGGACAUUUGGUCAAGGAAGUAGAUUCUCUUCAGCUCUCAAGAAACAUUCAAAACAUGUCAAACAUUUGACAAGAAUAUCAAACAAGUGCAGUGUACAUACCAACAUGAUGAAGAUGUAGACCAACAUGAUGAAGAUGUAGACCAACAUGAUGAAGAUGUAGACCAACAUGAUGAAGAUGUAGACCAACAUGAUGAAGAUGUAGGCCAACAUGAUGAAGAUGUAGACCAACAUGAUGAAGAUGUAGACCAACAUGAUGAAGAUAUAGAUUGACAUGAAGAUGAAAUGUAAACCAAAAUAUUGAUCAAGAGAUGUAUGGAAUAAAAAGUGAACAUCUUGAGAGGGAAAACAAUUCCUAGAGGCAAAGACACAGACACAGUAGAUACAUAAGAGAUUGUUUCCUUUUCUACCAUCAUUUAGAGCCUUUUUUGUGAGGGAACCUGCAUCUGAAAGAACUGAACAUUUCCCUAAUGCUACUUCAAAUUCAGAUCUCCUCCCAACCUCAGGCUGAGUACCCGUGGUCACCUACUUUAUGUUACAUUACCAUAGCACUACAGACAGUGGAAAACAAAUUAUAUGAAGGAAUGCAACCACCAUCAGAUAUUGUUGUCUUUACAGACUCCCAAUCUACUCUUCAAGAACUUAACAGCAGCACCUCAAACAGCUCAAGAGAGUUGACAACACUCAUUGUGAUAAUCCAUCAGAUGAUAUCAAAAUUAAAUAUCAAUAUCACACUACAGUGGAUCCCUGGACACAUUUUCAUCAUGGGAAAUGAAAAGGCAGAUAAGCUAUCAAAGGCAGGUUCAUCUAUGGAACAACCAGAUAGACCUGUUAACUACCUCACCCUAAGGUCAGUGUUAGUCAACAAUCAUAAAGAGGAGUGGCUCAACCAAUGGGCAUCAGGAAACACAGGCAGAGCCAUGUACAAAGAAAUGACUACACCUAACAAACUGGACAGUAUUAACUUCCUCCCCUGCAAAGAACAAUCUACAAUUUUCCAACUAAGAACAGGACACACUC